Molecule: ribosomal RNA, 404 nt
Filed under: uncultured bacterium
Lineage: Bacteria
Description: bacterial SSU rRNA
Rfam family: Bacterial small subunit ribosomal RNA
Source: RNAcentral
UGGGGAAUAUUGGUCAAUGGGGGAAACCCUGAACCAGCAACGCCGCGUGAAGGAAGAAGGCUUUCGGGUUGUAAACUUCUUUUAUCUGUGACGAUAGUGACGGUAGCAGAUGAAUAAGCUACGGCUAACUACGUGCCAGCAGCCGCGGUAAUACGUAGGUAGCGAGCGUUAUCCGGAUUUACUGGGUGUAAAGGGCGCGUAGGCGGGAGACCAAGUCAGAUGUGAAAACUAUGGGCUUAACCCAUAGCCUGCAUUUGAAACUGGUUUUCUUGAGUACUGGAGAGGCAGUCGGAAUUCCGUGUGUAGCGGUGAAAUGCGUAGAUAUACGGAAGAACACCAGUGGCGAAGGCGGACUGCUGGACAGCAACUGACGCUGAGGCGCGAGAGCGUGGGGAGCAAACAGG